UGCCCGGUCGUUCAAUGGUAGGACAACGGGUUUUGGGUCCGUCUAUCGAGGUUCGAGUCCUCGCCGGGCAGCCA
RNAcentral lists this transfer RNA (74 nucleotides) under Candidatus Latescibacterota bacterium. RNAcentral's name for it is "tRNA-Gln". It matches the Rfam family "tRNA". From Rfam's summary of the family: Transfer RNA (tRNA) molecules are approximately 80 nucleotides in length. The record is from RNAcentral. Lineage: Bacteria; Pseudomonadati; Candidatus Latescibacterota.